This 1822-nucleotide long non-coding RNA is filed under the name Homo sapiens (human). RNAcentral describes it as "HSALNT0380744". Lineage: Eukaryota; Metazoa; Chordata; Mammalia; Primates; Hominidae. The record is from RNAcentral.
AGUUUGAUCUCAGACUGCUGUGCUAGCAAUCAGCGAGACUCCGUGGGCGUAGGACCCUCCGAGCCAGACAUCUUCUGUAACCAGAAGCACUCCAAGAACAACACUUUCAUUCAUGGACUUAACAACUACAUUAGAUCAUACCAGCCUGUCACUUCAAAGUCACCAGUGUCAAGGAACAUUUCAAAUUGGCUUAAAGCAUUGUUUUGGAGGUGUGAAUAAUGAAGCCAAGGACAUUAGCAACAUCAUGAAAGCAGGCAUCAAGUGAAUAGAGAAGAUUCUAUGGAUGUAGAAGAGGUCCCUGGGUUUCCGAAUUGCCACUGGAUUGCCUCUAUCAAAUACACAAGAGUUUCAUGAGUGAGAAAUAACCUUCUGUUGCUUUAAAUCUUGGGUUGUGCAAUACAUCAGUGAGCCUACCAUGACUAAUACAUUCUAUGGAUGCAGAUUUCUCUUCUCUGGCCAUUGACAUGAGUGUGCUUUCUGGAUGCAGGUUGGUGUAUAUUGCUAUCAUUUUCUGCCUUCUCAUGUUUGAUCUGGCUCUUAACCAGUUAUUUUUGGUAAACACUUUAUACAACAACCUCCUUUCUUCUAGAGAUUUCCAGUUUCCUUGAAAUGAACUUUAGUUAUGAGUAACAUUAAAAAUGUCUCUGUGUUCUGCACAUGGGCACAGGGAAGGGAACAACACACACUGGGGCCUCUCAGGGGGUGUAGUGGGGUGGGAAGAGGGAGAACAUUAGAAAAAGUAGCUAAUGCAUGCUGGGCUUAAUACCUAAUGGGUUGAUAGGUGCAGCAAACCACCACGGCACACAUUUACCUAGGUAACAAACCUUCACAUCCUGCACAUGUACCCCAGAACUUAAAAUUUAAAUUUAAAAAAAACUCUAUGUUCUGUAAGCUUUCUCUUAUAGAACACAGAGCUAUUUUAAACUUAACCACUCCCUCCCCACUUAAAACUAUUAGUGGGGAGGGAGUGGUUAGGAGUGGAAAUAAGAGAAAGGGGUUGUAGACAAAGCCAUAGAGAAGAGUCAUAUUCAAGAAAAACUUUUCUUAUCUCCGAAUAGAAGUCACUGAUUAACUGCUCUUCUUGCUGAAACAAACUGUGAACCAGAAGCUAAGACUCACCUUAAUACUUAGGAAAAAUAAUUUGGCCUUCCCUUCUGUUUUGAACACAGGAAGGAAUGGCCACGUAUCUUUGACUUUGAAGACAACUAGAAUUUCACGUAUUAUUCCGGGAGCAAAAUCAACCCCUCUGUGAGAAAGAGAAAGGUGGAAACAGAGCAUUUGGGCUUGGGAAGAGAGUAGUUGCUAUGCAGAGCUCAUUGUUUACUGAGCAUCUCUAUAACAUAUGCCUUAUGGGAGGUAGGAGAUGAGUGAAAACAAAAAUAGACUAGGUUAGACACAGAGUUUUUAUAAUAAUUACUAAGAAGUGCCAGUAAAAUUUACUGUUGAUCCAGUUUACUGUAAGCUUCGUGUCCUUAACACCAUCAUAAAUGAUGAACAGAUUAACAGAAUGUAAACAAAUUCUUCUCAGAAAACUUUUUUUUUCUUUUUUUUUAAGUCACAGGGGACCCAAGAUUCUUGGACAGAAUUCUCGCCGGGAGCCAACUCAGCCUGAUCUGCUGGCAUCUCUCAAGUAUCAGAAGUCAACAAAAUGGUUUGCCUUGAAGACUUGGCCAGAGCAGCAGCCAAAGUUCAUAAGGCUUUCGUAGAGAGAUUGUUUGUCUAAGAAAACAAAAUUCUAAGGGCUCCCAUUGUGCAGCUGGGGUGGCAAAAUGCAAACUAAUAUAAGGAAAAAAAAUGCUUUUCAUUUCCAUGGAAGAAAUGA